This 328-nucleotide unclassified non-coding RNA is filed under the name soil metagenome. RNAcentral's name for it is "partial contains 5.8S ribosomal RNA, internal transcribed spacer 2, and large subunit ribosomal RNA". The stretch from base 1 to 120 matches the Rfam family "5.8S ribosomal RNA", at positions 35 to 154 of the family's 154-position model. The record is from RNAcentral.
GAUGAAGAACGUAGCGAAAUGCGAUAAGUAAUGUGAAUUGCAGAAUUCAGUGAAUCAUCGAAUCUUUGAACGCACAUUGCGCCCCUUGGUAUUCCGAGGGGCAUGCCUGUUCGAGCGUCAUUAUAACCCCUCAAGCUCAGCUUGGUAUUGGGGCCUGCCGCACGGGCAGCCCUUAAAAUCAGUGGCGGUGCCAUCUGGCUCUAAGCGUAGUAAUUCUUCUCGCUAUAGAGUCCCGGUGGAUGCUUGCCAUUAACCCCCAAUUUUCUAUGGUUGACCUCGGAUCAGGUAGGGAUACCCGCUGAACUUAAGCAUAUCAAUAAGCGGAGGA